This 253-nucleotide ribosomal RNA is filed under the name uncultured bacterium. RNAcentral's name for it is "partial 16S ribosomal RNA". It matches the Rfam family "Bacterial small subunit ribosomal RNA", at positions 524 to 776 of the family's 1533-position model. The record is from RNAcentral.
UACAGAGGGUGCGAGCGUUAAUCGGAAUUACUGGGCGUAAAGCGUGCGUAGACGGUUAUUUAAGUCGGGUGUGAAAGCCCCGGGCUCAACCUGGGAAUUGCAUUCGAGACUGAAUAGCUAGGGUACGGUAGAGGGAAGCGGAAUUUCCGGUGUAGCGGUGAAAUGCGUAGAUAUCGGAAGGAACAUCAGUGGCGAAAGCGGCUUCCUGGACCAGCACUGACACUGAGGCACGAAAGCGUGGGGAGCAAACAGG